RNAcentral lists this ribosomal RNA (449 nucleotides) under uncultured bacterium. RNAcentral describes it as "partial 16S ribosomal RNA". It matches the Rfam family "Bacterial small subunit ribosomal RNA", at positions 338 to 795 of the family's 1533-position model. The record is from RNAcentral.
CCUACGGGUGGCUGCAGUGGGGAAUUUUGGACAAUGGGGGCAACCCUGAUCCAGCCAUUCCGCGUGAGUGAAGAAGGCCUUCGGGUUGUAAAGCUCUUUUGUCCGGAGCGAAACGGGCGGCCCUAAUACGGUCGUCUACUGACGGUACCGGAAGAAUAAGCACCGGCUAACUACGUGCCAGCAGCCGCGGUAAUACGUAGGGUGCGAGCGUGCGUCGGAAUUACUGGGCCGGAAGCGUGAGCAGGCGGUGAAAUCCCCGGGCGCGACCUGGGAAUGGCAUUUGGGACUGCAAGGCUGGAGUGUGGCAGAGGGGACUAGAAUUCCUGGUGUAGCAGUGAAAUGCGUAGAUAUCAGGAGGAAUACCGAUGGCGAAGGCAGGUCCCUGGGUUAACACUGACGCUCAUGCACGAAAGCGUGGGGAGCAAACAGGAUUAGAUACCCCAGUAGUC